UAAUUUUUUUAUUAUUUAAUAGUAUAGGUAUAAUUAUUAAUUAUAAAAAAUAAUUUUUAUUUUUAUUAUAUUAUAAUGAAAAAAUAAAUUUAAUAAUAGUUAAUUAGUAUUGAGAAAGAAAUAAUUAAAUUUUAUAAAAGAAGAAUUUAGUUUUUGUACCUUGGGUAUCAGGGUUUAUUAAAAAAUUUUUAAUUAUUUAAAUUUCUCGAAUUUAGGAGAGCUAUAAAUUUAUUUUUUUUAUUGUUGAAUAAAUAUUAUUAAUAGAUUUAUAGAUGUAAAAUGCUAUUCGUUCUUAAAUAUAUCUAGUUUUUAAAGAAAAAAAUAUUAAUUUAAUUUUUAUUUAUUAUAAAGUUAAUUAUUUAAUUUUAUAAUAGUAAAAUUUUAUAAAUUUGGGGAUGAGCUUAAAUUUAAAUUUAUAUAAUUAUAGUUAAUUUUAAUUUAAUAAAUAGAAUUAGAAGUUUUUAUUUUUUAUUGUGUUUUAUAACUAAUUUAUAUUUUAUUUUAAUUUUUAUAGGAUUUAUAUUUUAUAUUUAAAAAUAUACUUUAAUUUUUAAAGUAUAGAGAUAAUGAUAAAAUUAGUAUAAUAAAAUUAUAUUUAAUAUAAAAAUUUUUUAAGAUUAUUUUAAGGAACUCGGCAAAUACAAUUUUCACCUGUUUAUUAAAAACAUGGCUUUUUGAUUAUAAUUUAAGGUCUAGCCUGCCCAAUGAUUAAUUUUAAAUGGCCGCGGUAAUUUGACCGUGCAAAGGUAGCAUAAUCAUUAGUUUUUUAAUUGAAAGCUUGUAUGAAAGGUUGAAUGAAAAAUUAUCUGUCUCUAGAUAAAAUUUUAGAAUUUUAUUUUUAAGUAAAAAAGCUUAAAUAUGUAUAGAAGACGAGAAGACCCUAUAGAGUUUUAUAUACUUAUAAAUUAAUAGCUUUUAGUAAUAAAAACUUUAAUUAAUAUUUAUAUUUAGUUGGGGUGAUUGAAAAAUUAAAUAAACUUUUUUUUAAAUUUUACAUUAAUAUAUGAAUAAUUGAUCCUUAUUUAAAGAUUAAAAGAUUAAAUUACCUUAGGGAUAACAGCGUUAUUUUUUUUUAGAGUUCUUAUUAAAAGAAAAGAUUGCGACCUCGAUGUUGGAUUAAAAUAUAAGUUUGGUGUAGAAGCUAAACGGAUUAGGUCUGUUCGACCUUUAAAAUUUUACAUGAUCUGAGUUUAGACCGGCGUGAGCCAGGUUGGUUUCUAUCUCUAUAAAAGAUAAUAUCUUAGUACGAAAGGACCAGAUAUUAGUUUUAAAAAUUUAAUUUAGAAUAUCAAUAAUA
Molecule: ribosomal RNA, 1297 nt
Filed under: Tomicus piniperda (common pine shoot beetle)
Lineage: Eukaryota; Metazoa; Arthropoda; Insecta; Coleoptera; Curculionidae
Description: 16S ribosomal RNA
Rfam family: Archaeal large subunit ribosomal RNA (bases 1053-1212)
Source: RNAcentral